GCCGGGGUCCCCGGGUGUCCCCUUACCACGCCCUCACCUCCUGUCCGGGGAGGGUGUCGGGGUGUCAGCCACACGGCUAGCCAGGGGCCUGAAAUCAGCCAGGUCCGUCGGCUUGGGCAGGACUCCCACCCCUCUCCAGACCGCACCUCCAGGCCUGGGGGAGGGUGGUGCAUUGAGGGUCCCCAGGAAAGAACUUACCCACCUGUGGCCCCGCUGAACCUGGUGACAACAUCAGCAACUCCACCCAGGCACCGCUCAGGACAGGUGGCGCCCAGUGGGUGGGCUCAUGGGCACUCCUUAAAGGAAGGCGGUUAGUGGGCAAACUGGUCCUUGGAAGCAAAUCACUGAGGUGGGUGUGGGUUUUCUUUUUUAUUCUUCACAGCUCUUUACAUAUUACAGAUCCUAUUCUUGUGUGCAUAUUGCAAAUGUUUGUCCCGAGUUUUUUGUUCGCUUUUGACAUCUUGUGCGGAGUGUUCUGACAUCUAAAUUAUUAAUACUUGUGGGUCAAAUGAUCAGUCUUGUUUAAUUAUAUCUUUACCACCUGCAGCGUGAGCUCUAUAAAGGCAGGGACUGGCUCUGGACUUGCCCCCCCCCCCCAAUCUAGGCCAGGCCAGCAACUGCUGGAACACUUCUUCAGCCUCCAGCUGUUGGGUGAUAGCAGAUGUGCAUCCUAUACUGUGAGUUUUUAAAAAGUGCCCCCUUUUUUUUUCUUGUGAAAACUCUCCUUUCAGAGCCCAGCUGUAAAGUGGGACAUGUAAAAGAUCGGCAGUGGGGGGGCACAGACAUUGCACCCUGGUGAGCCCCCAGCAGGGAAGCCUGUGCCCGAGGCCUCCCCGCCUCCGGGGGCGGGGAGGUCAGGGGACAGUCCGUCCUGGCCAUGCUUCCAGGUCCUUCCAGCAAACCUACAUUCUGCACCUCGUCUCCAGGGCCCGGGGGCUGCAUUAGGGAUGAGCCAGCACGGCUGUCUGGUCCAAGCGGAGGAUCCAGUGCCCCUCAGCCCAAGCCCACCCGAGCUUCCAUGCGUCCCCUGGAUACAGGAGGUGCUCAGGGCACAGCACGGAAGGACAGCUCCGCCAUCAGGUGUGACCCAGGGCGCUGCUUUUCAGGUGGGGACGGUCCUGACAAAGAGCCCUUUGUCCUCAGCUUCCCCUGGCCCGGGUUGCAUUGUUCUCCCCAGAGGAGGGCACAAUGGGGCAUUGUGGAGAGCAGAAAGGCGUCCUUGUCCAGCAUCCAGCUCGCUGGGCUCCAGUCUCCCUCUCCGGGUUUACCCAGGGUGGGCGAGGCCAUCAGAGAGGUCCACUGGGAGCUCGGGUUCUUACACUUCCUCCGGGACCCGCCUUCCUGGGAGUGGACUGCAGAGGUCCGGUGAGUCCGAGGGUCCAGAACCCACCCACGCGGGAGCGGACCUUGCGGAGCGGGGCUUGGGCCGCGGAAAGCCUGGCCGGUGGCUCGGCGCUUGCCUAUGUGCACCCAAAUUGAACCAGAAGCACACGAGUCUGUAACUCAGCAGUAAGGAGGAGUGAGGUGUUGACACCUGCUACAAGAUAGAGGAACCUCACAAACAUCAUGCAAAGUGGGAGAACCAGGCGCACGGGCUACACGUCGGAUUCCAUGUACAUGACACGUUCCGGAUCAGCAAAUCCGCGGAGACAGAAAGGAGAUGGGUGGUUGUCUAGGGCUGGGGGCGGGGAGUGACGGGAAGAUUCCGGAGCCAGGCAGAGGGGACGGCUGCACACCAGCAAUGCACUAAAUGCUACAGAACUGUACACUUCAAAACGCUUGAAUGUUAUGCCAUGUGAAUUCCGUUUCAAAAAAAAAGAAGAAAAAUCUUAAAAAUACCCUAUGUUGUUCCAGAACGUCCUAGAAGGCACUGUUUUUCCCUGUUGGAAUAGGUCACGUCAUUUACACCAAACCUACCUCUUCAUCUAGAUGAGGGAGCAUCUAAGAGCUUUGACUAAUAUUUAGAUUCGGGGACAUCUUAUGCUCCAAGAAAGCACUGCACUUAAAAACAAAACCUUUUUUGUAAACCUUGAGGCAACUGCAGGGGUGGAGGCUGGUGCUGGGGAGGCAGCUCGCUGGCUUCCUCACCCCGUGGGCUCAGUGGCUGCAAACCGCAGGCCGGGGAGCUUGCGGCCAACACCAUCCAUCACUGUGUCUCACCUUCUUGUGACUCCCGCCCAGUGAUUAAAGCAGACAAUUCACUUCUGAAAAGAACGGGUGGCACUCGUGUUAGAUGACGUCCCUGAGGAGGGAGCUAGGCUCCGGCAGUGGGCAGAGGUGCUUCUGGAAGUUGCUGGCGUGGACUGAGGAGGAGCCCAAACAGAGGAACAUCAGGGGCUGGCUACCGCACGCCCAUCGGCCCCCACGGGCCCCGCGCUGAGCCCACAGCUCAGACAUGCACCGCGGACCCCUCCACAACUCACUCGAAGUCAAGGGGCCACAGGGGGCCGUCGGCAACAAGUCCUGUGACCUCGAACACCCUCCCUCCCAGAACUCCGCACCUUCUUGGGGGUCCCUCCAACCCCUUUCCACGCCCUGGGGAAACCAGCCCGAGGCCCCUCUUUUCAUGCUUUACUAGAAGGCUCAGCCCCUUGAAGGUGUGCAGCCGGGGGAGCCCCUGACCCCAGCCCGGUUGGGGAGGGGCGAAGCUCCACCACGCCUGCUCCAAGCUGGCCUCACGGACUCCCAGGAACCACCGGCUUCUUUCCACUCAGUACAAGGCUCCCGCCUCAGGGUGUCUUAAUUAAACCCUCCUUCACCAAGUUCCGAAAAAUAAAUACUUGGGAGACAGCGGAAAUCUUUUGACAGGGUGUGUUUUAAUUUGCCUUUGGCACGGGCACGUCUCUGGAACCUUCCCUGGUGGCAGAGCCAGCCAGGGCCCCUCACUCCGAAAGAGGAUUUUUUUUUUCUGUCUGAUAUUUUUAUUUCAGGCUAGCAUUUGCCUUUCUCCGUCAUAACUGAUGCGGGGCUCCGCUUCCGAGGGGUUCCCACUUGGACAUCUUGAACAGGAAGCCUCAUUAAAUCUGAAAGUUAAGUUUGGAAGGACAAGCACAGCCUACUUGGGCUCGAAGGCUGGUUUUCUGGAGUGACAGUCAUCCUCCAGAGUCCUGGCUCCCCUUCUGCACGGGGCCUGUGCACAGGGUGGGGGGUUGGGGGGGGACCGAGGUGACGGUGAAGGGCAGGGGCCCUGGGGACUGGGGGCCAGGGGGCAGGAGCCCAGAGUGCAGAAUGAGGGUGGGGUCUGGGGCCCGGGGACCCAGGGGCCUGGUACCACAGAAUGCCCGUCUGCGUGGGCAAGGAAUGGAAUGUGCUGGAGCCGCUGGGGGCCGGAAGGCUUAGGGGGUGCAAGCGUCCAGAGGAAGGCACGGGCAGAUGGCACGUCUCUAACACCUCGGCAGACUCGGUUUCCCCCGUGGAUGAUGCUGCUGGCACCUGGUGCUCACCUCUGCCCAAGGAAGACCGCAUUUGGAGCCCCUGGGACCCCGCCUGAGGAUGGUCGUGGGCUACAGAAGCAGCCUCUGCCUGCCGUCGAAGACCCACACCAAGACCCGUGGAGCCAGCCCCCCAGGCCCAGGCCGGGGAGAGGACAGAUGGAUGGGCACAGCCGGAGGCCGGGGAGAUCUCUACCGUCAGGAGGUGAGCGGAGGCCAGAGCAGGCCCACAGCUGUUCCUGACACAUCUGCGUAGCACAUGUCACUGGGCAGACAACCUUCACUGGGGCUCAGCCCUCCAUGAAGCAUUGCCCUCUCCCCCAAUUUUUUUCAAAUAAUGGCCACUGGGGCAGGGGGUCCCCUGGGCUGCCAGCAGUCACCCCGGGGCCAUGUGGGUUUUCGCACCGGGAGCCGGCAAGAAGGGGCAGAGGAAGAGCCUGGGGCACCUUCACCCCUGCCUGGAGCUUGGGAGGCGCCCCGAAGCGGCAGCGAACGCCGUGCUGGAGCGAGGUGCUCAGGACCAGCACCCUGACGGGCCGGCCAGGGGCGGAUGGGGGAGGCUGGGCGCGAUCCUCCUCCCGGGCUCCCCCGCACGCACAGACGGCCAGCUCCCUGGCAGACAUCAGCCCAGCCGGGCGGAGGGCUUCGACCCAAACCAGACCUUCCACGCCAGCUGGCAAACUAAGUCGGGGAGGGGUGUUUCCACAAAAAGCUUGGCCCCGAGCCCCGAUAGUCUGUCACCAAGGGACGCUGGACUCCUGGCGCCCCUGCGAGCCCCUCGCCUCUCUCUCGGGAGACCCAGCAGGGCAGGCUGGGGCGGUCCUGACCGAGCCGCUGCUCAGAGCUGAUUGCUCAUCUCUGGCCUGGACAUUUGGUUUCUGCGGACUAGCCAGUAAUUGAAAGCGCCAAUUAAUCUCUGACACUGAGCGGGGCUUCCCAGGACGUGAUGCCAACUGCCCGGGGCUGGCUCACUGAGGCCCAGGUAACGGCUGCAGACACACAGGGAACAGGCCGCCCCAGGCCUUCCUCUGAGGGACUGCACGGACUAUGGCCUCCCAGGCUGCCCGGGCUGAGGGCUGGGCGGAGGGUGGGCGGAGACACGGGCAGGGUGACACAGGGGUGACCGCAGGGUGCCUUCGUCCGUGGUGGCUUUCGCAGCCCUUCCUCCCCCCUCGGCUGCUCCGGUGCCCGACACACACACGCACACGGGCUUCCUGAGCUUCCCUGGAAGCCACGUGCUGGGAGCCUUGGGGGUCUCCUGGCGAACGUCCCCCUGGAGCCCUCGGGCCUGCACUGGCCAGGGCUCUUAGGCACGGGGGUUGCCAGGCUGUAUUUCUGUCUUGACAGGCGCCCUUGCAGCCUCAGCUGGGGGUGUAGGUCUAGAAUCCUCAUUACACCCCAGGGGCAGGGAUACGGUCCACCCACGGCCCACGAGGUCACCUCCCUGAGACCGCAAAGGCCACUAAGUGAAGGUCCCCAUGGGCCAGUAAGAUCGAUGGGGGCCCUCAGGCAACCCCCACUUGGGCCCUCCCUCGGAGUCCCCAACUGCACAGCGGGGACCCCCAGUGGAGGGCAGGACCUCCGAGGGGCGGCCACCACAGACCAGCAGCUGAGGGCGUUCCCUGGCAGGCGACAGAGCAAAGGGAAGCCAACCACAGGACAGGACGCCAGAACAGAGGCCACUCCCGGAGGACGCACCUCUGCCAUCAGGUGCACACCCCCCCACCAACCCUGGGCUGUUUACCUUAGACAAUGACACCCCCAAUGCCACUUUCCCAUAAGCAGAAUAUCAGGUUCUGUGAUGUGGGGCAGGGCCUCGGAGUCACCUGCAGGUGACAGGUAGUGUGGGUUAACCCCCUCUUAGGCCCUGAGAUGCCCCCACAGGGGUGCACACAUGUUUCAGAGGCAAGGCUGCAGGAUCCCUGGGCAGCCCCUGAGCCCCAGGGGCAGGCUCCUGCCCUAGACCCGCAGUGGGACCAACAGGCCACCCAGGCCCAAGUGCGAACUGAACCCACAACCCAGGCACUGGUGGGGGGGGCAGGGGUG
Molecule: long non-coding RNA, 5477 nt
Organism: Canis lupus familiaris (dog)
Lineage: Eukaryota; Metazoa; Chordata; Mammalia; Carnivora; Canidae
Exons: 3
Source: RefSeq, a predicted model, not a curated record